GACAGAGGGUGCAAACGUUGUUCGGAAUUACUGGGCGUAAAGCGAGUGUAGGCGGUCUCAUAAGUCCGGUGUGAAAACUCGAGGCUUAACCUCGAGAUGUCAUCGGAAACCAUCUGGCUAGAGUCCGGAAGAGGAAAGUGGAAUUCCUGGUGUAGCGGUGAAAUGCGCAGAUAUCAGGAAGAACACCAAUGGCGAAAGCAGCUUUCUGGGACGGUACUGACGCUGAGACGCGAAAGCGUGGGGAGCGAACAGG
This 253-nucleotide ribosomal RNA is filed under the name uncultured bacterium. RNAcentral describes it as "partial 16S ribosomal RNA". It matches the Rfam family "Bacterial small subunit ribosomal RNA", at positions 524 to 776 of the family's 1533-position model. The record is from RNAcentral.